CCUACGGGGGGCAGCAGUGGGGAAUAUUGCACAAUGGGGGAAACCCUGAUGCAGCGACGCCGCGUGAGUGAAGAAGAAUUUCGGUACGUAAAGCUCUAUCAGCAGGGAAGAAAAUGACGGUACCUGACGAAGAAGCCCCGGCUAACUACGUGCCAGCAGCCGCGGGAAUACGUAGGGGGCAAGCGUUAUCCGGAUUGACGGGGUGGAAAGGGAGCGUAGACGGCAGCGCAAGUCGGGAGUGAAAUCCCAUGGCUUAACCAUGGAACUGCUUUGGAAACUGUGCAGCUAGAGUGCAGGAGCGGUAAGCGGACUUCCUAGUGUAGCGGUGAAAUGCGUAGAUAUUAGGAG
RNAcentral lists this ribosomal RNA (348 nucleotides) under uncultured bacterium. RNAcentral's name for it is "partial 16S ribosomal RNA". It matches the Rfam family "Bacterial small subunit ribosomal RNA", at positions 338 to 703 of the family's 1533-position model. The record is from RNAcentral.